Molecule: ribosomal RNA, 497 nt
Filed under: uncultured bacterium
Lineage: Bacteria
Description: partial 16S ribosomal RNA
Rfam family: Bacterial small subunit ribosomal RNA
Source: RNAcentral
GAUGAACGCUGGCGGCGUGCUUAACACAUGCAAGUCGAGCGAACGGACCCGACGUUUGCUUCUCUGUUGUUAGCGGCGGACGGGUGAGUCACACGUGGAUAACCCACCUAUCUGACUGGGAUCACUUCGAGACACCGGAGCUAAUACCGGAUAAUAUCUUGAACCGCAUGGUUCAAUAGUGAAUGACGGUCUUUCUGUCACUUCUAGAUGGAUCCGCGCUGCAUUAGCUAGUUGGUACGGUAACGGCUUACCAAGGCAACGAUGCAUAGCCGACCUGAGAGAGUGGUAGGCGGCAUGAGAGGUGGGACACGGACCAGGCUCCUGCGAGAGGGAGCAGAAGGGAAUGGGACGCAGUGGGCGAGAGCAUGACGGAGCGAGGGCGCGUGAGUGGUGGAGGUCUUCGGAGCGUGAAGCUCGGUUAUGGGGGAAAAACAUAUGUGUAAGUAGAUGAAGAGAUAGUGACGGUACCUGAUCAAGAAGCAACGGCUAACUACGUG